Gopherus flavomarginatus (Mexican gopher tortoise) is the source of this 185-nucleotide long non-coding RNA. RefSeq lists it as uncharacterized. The record is from RefSeq and is a predicted model, not a curated record. The transcript is spliced from 4 exons. NCBI's taxonomy places the organism in Eukaryota, Metazoa, Chordata, Testudines, Testudinidae.
GGAGUGUGGAGCGCAGGAGAUAUGCAGUGUUCAGGAAGGGGUGCUGGGUUGUUCCUCCUCUGGAGAAGCCCCAAUUACUUCAAGUCCAACUACAGUAGGCACCAGUCCACCAGGAAAAUCCUCGACCACUGCAACUCCAACUACAGUAGAGCCCUGUCAGACAGGCCGUGCCACCUGCAGUGCCU